CCUACGGGUGACAGCAGUGGGGGAUAUUGCACAAUGGGGGGAACCCUGAUGCAGCGACGCCGCGUGGGUGAAGGAGUGCUUCGGCAUGUAAAGCCCUAUCGGCAGGGAAGAAGCAAGACGGUACCUGACUAAGAAGCCCCGGCUAACUACGUGCCAGCAGCCGCGGUAAUACGUAGGGGGCGAGCGUUAUCCGGAUUCACUGGGUGUAAAGGGAGCGUAGACGGCCAUGCAAGCCAGGGGUGAAAGCCCGGGGCCCAACCCCGGGACUGCCCUUGGAACUGUGCGGCUAGAGUGCGGGAGGGGCAGGCGGAAUUCUUGGUGUAGCGGUGAAAUGCGUAGAUAUCAGGAGGAACACCGGCGGCGAAGGCGGCCUGCUGGACUGCGACUGACGUUGAGGCUCGAAAGCGUGGGGAGCGAACAGGAUUAGAUACCCCUGUAGUC
RNAcentral lists this ribosomal RNA (441 nucleotides) under uncultured bacterium. RNAcentral describes it as "partial 16S ribosomal RNA". It matches the Rfam family "Bacterial small subunit ribosomal RNA", at positions 338 to 795 of the family's 1533-position model. The record is from RNAcentral.